GACGAACGCUGGCGGCGUGCUUAACACAUGCAAGUCGAACGGAAAGGCCCUGCUUUUGUGGGGUGCUCGAGUGGCGAACGGGUGAGUAACGCGUGAGUAACCUGCCCUUGACUUUGGGAUAACUUCAGGAAACUGGGGCUAAUACCGGAUAGGAGCUCCUGCUGCAUGGUGGGGGUUGGAAAGUUUCGGCGGUUGGGGAUGGACUCGCGGCUUAUCAGCUUGUUGGUGGGGUAGUGGCUUACCAAGGCUUUGACGGGUAGCCGGCCUGAGAGGGUGACCGGCCACAUUGGGACUGAGAUACGGCCCAGACUCCUACGGGAGGCAGCAGUGGGGAAUAUUGCACAAUGGGCGGGAGCCUGAUGCAGCAACGCCGCGUGCGGGAUGACGGCCUUCGGGUUGUAAACCGCUUUCGCCUGUGACGAAGCGUGAGUGACGGUAAUGGGUAAAGAAGCACCGGCUAACUACGUG
Molecule: ribosomal RNA, 468 nt
Filed under: uncultured bacterium
Lineage: Bacteria
Description: partial 16S ribosomal RNA
Rfam family: Bacterial small subunit ribosomal RNA
Source: RNAcentral